AGUGAACGCUGGCGGUAGGCCUAACACAUGCAAGUCGAACGGCAGCACAGUAAGAGCUUGCUCUUACGGGUGGCGAGUGGCGGACGGGUGAGGAAUACAUCGGAAUCUACUUUUUCGUGGGGGAUACGUAGGGAAACUUACGCUAAUACCGCAUACGACCUACGGGUGAAAGCAGGGGAUCUUCGGACCUUGCGCGAUUGAAUGAGCCGAUGUCGGAUUAGCUAGUUGGCGGGGUAAAGGCCCACCAAGGCGACGAUCCGUAGCUGGUCUGAGAGGAUGAUCAGCCACACUGGAACUGAGACACGGUCCAGACUCCUACGGGAGGCAGCAGUGGGGAAUAUUGGACAAUGGGCGCAAGCCUGAUCCAGCCAUACCGCGUGGGUGAAGAAGGCCUUCGGGUUGUAAAGCCCUUUUGUUGGGAAAGAAAAGCAGCAGGUUAAUACCCCGCUGUUCUGACGGUACCCAAAGAAUAAGCACCGGCUAACUUCGUG
RNAcentral lists this ribosomal RNA (491 nucleotides) under uncultured bacterium. RNAcentral's name for it is "partial 16S ribosomal RNA". It matches the Rfam family "Bacterial small subunit ribosomal RNA", at positions 29 to 507 of the family's 1533-position model. The record is from RNAcentral.